This 1236-nucleotide long non-coding RNA is filed under the name Anas platyrhynchos platyrhynchos (common mallard). RNAcentral describes it as "lncRNA (ENSAPLG00000025202.1)". Lineage: Eukaryota; Metazoa; Chordata; Aves; Anseriformes; Anatidae. The record is from RNAcentral.
AUGUCUGAAGACAAUCAUAUCUGCAUUAAUAUUCUGUAUUUUCAAGCAAUCAUCAGAAAGCUGGAAGCAUGUUUAAUCUUUGAAUGGAAAAAUGCCUAUAGAUUUUGCCUUUUAUUAAGGGGAAUCUGUCUUUGCCAGUCAGUAACUGAGAAGCCAGCUGUAGCCAGAGGGCAGUGUCCCUUUGCCAGAACUUGAAGUCACUGAUAAGACUCUGCUGUGACCAGCACUGAAUUUGAGUCUGCAGAAGUAUUUACCAGUGAUUGUUGCCAUGAGACAAAUCAGAUACACUCAGCUCUCUGAACUACAGUUAACUGUUUAGGAUUGGAGAGUGACAGGAUCCUUGCUGGCAUCACUGGAUCUCUGAGCUUAUCUGUUUCAUGGUAAUUAAUACAACACUUUCCAUUUAGUUUCCUGUCAGUGCAGUUCCAUUGCCUCAGGCUUCAUUUGCCUUGCUGCUCUGUGUUGAAAGCAGUUGCAGCCCAGCCCACAGCUUUCUCCCUGGAUUUUUCUGAUCACUAUGAGUUUGUAGGAGAGGAAGGGGACUGCAGAAAAUUCAGUAUUCCUGAACUGGUGAAAAGAGGUUAAAUUCGUACCUGGGGAGGAACCCCAUUUGUCUCAUUUACCUUCUGUAUUUCCCAUAUUCUCAUUUUGCUUACAACCAGCAUUUUUUGAAGGAACAGGGGCUCGUUCCUUUCUUCCUGCAUUGCCCUUCCUAGUGCCCUUUUAAUCCUACCAAUUCUUUAUAGCAUAUGGCUGUGUCCCAGUGAUUUCUGUUCCUACCUAUUUUUGUACUCUUUACUUUGGUUCUAAAUCUUGGCCUUUCAAAAUUCCAUAUUGGUUUCUGCAAAGCAUUUAUAUUUUCAUCCAAAAAUCUCCCUCAAAUAUUUUCCACACCUACUAUUGUGUCUGUGGAGACCAUUAAAUGGUUCCCUCAGGUGUCUGUAGAUCUCACAUUUCUUGGUCAUGUUUCCUUCAAGGGAGAUUAUGAAACGGAUAGGAAUUUGUUUCUCAAGUCCCUGUAUAUUUCAAAAUCAUACCAUCAGAUAUACUACUCUGGCAUCCACUCUUGCAAGCUACAUCAGGAGCUGCCAUUGUCACUGACACCAUGAACUAGAUUCUGAGAAACAUGUUAACAUACUGGGGCUGCUGGUAUAAACUAUAAGGUUACAGGAAGAGAAUGUAACUUAAAAUCUUCUAAAUUUCUCUAGAGGUUAUGUCUGUUCUGACAUUUCUCAU